GAUGAACGCUAGCGGCAGGCUUAAUACAUGCAAGUCGAGGGGCAGCAGGUUUGUAGCAAUACAAAUGCUGGCGACCGGCAAACGGGUGCGGAACACGUACGCAACCUCCCUUUAACUGGAAGAUAGCCCACCGAAAGGUGGAUUAAUACUCCAUAAUAUAACUGAAUGGCAUCAUUUAGAUAUUAAAGCUCCGGCGGUUAAAGAUGGGCGUGCGUCUGAUUAGGUAGUUGGCGGGGUAACGGCCCACCAAGCCUGCGAUCAGUAGCUGAUGUGAGAGCAUGAUCAGCCACACGGGCACUGAGACACGGGCCCGACUCCUACGGGAGGCAGCAGUAAGGAAUAUUGGUCAAUGGACGCAAGUCUGAACCAGCCAUGCCGCGUGGAGGAUGAAGGCCCUCUGGGUUGUAAACUUCUUUUCUUUGGGACGAAACCCCUGUUUCUACGGGGACUGACGGUACCAGAGGAAUAAGCACCGGCUAACUCCGUGCCAGCCGCCGCGGUAAAAC
Molecule: ribosomal RNA, 506 nt
Filed under: uncultured bacterium
Lineage: Bacteria
Description: bacterial SSU rRNA
Rfam family: Bacterial small subunit ribosomal RNA
Source: RNAcentral